AAAUUGAAGAGUUUGAUCAUGGCUCAGAUUGAACGCUGGCGGCAGGCCUAACACAUGCAAGUCGAACGGUAACAGGAAACAGCUUGCUGUUUCGCUGACGAGUGGCGGACGGGUGAGUAAUGUCUGGGAAACUGCCUGAUGGAGGGGGAUAACUACUGGAAACGGUAGCUAAUACCGCAUAACGUCGCAAGACCAAAGAGGGGGACCUUCGGGCCUCUUGCCAUCGGAUGUGCCCAGAUGGGAUUAGCUAGUAGGUGGGGUAACGGCUCACCUAGGCGACGAUCCCUAGCUGGUCUGAGAGGAUGACCAGCCACACUGGAACUGAGACACGGUCCAGACUCCUACGGGAGGCAGCAGUGGGGAAUAUUGCACAAUGGGCGCAAGCCUGAUGCAGCCAUGCCGCGUGUAUGAAGAAGGCCUUAGGGUUGUAAAGUACUUUCAGCGGGGAGGAAGGGAGUAAAGUUAAUACCUUUGCUCAUUGACGUUACCCGCAGAAGAAGCACCGGCUAACUC
This 513-nucleotide ribosomal RNA is filed under the name Escherichia coli. Its description in RNAcentral is "bacterial SSU rRNA". It matches the Rfam family "Bacterial small subunit ribosomal RNA", at positions 1 to 503 of the family's 1533-position model. The record is from RNAcentral. Lineage: Bacteria; Pseudomonadati; Pseudomonadota; Gammaproteobacteria; Enterobacterales; Enterobacteriaceae.